UGCGUCGGGCCGUAUCGUUCGUGGGUACGGCUGUUGAAAGUUCGUGGGACCCAUCGGCACGUCUUACCAAAGUUUGAGUGCGCGGGGCCAAGGAUAGAGUGGUGGAUGAUGCGAAGGAGCGAGGCUCGUGGCUGUGAUAUUGGAGCGGCCUCGGUGGAAGCUGCUGACGGGGCGACCUGCCUCGGCAAACGGUGAUCUGCUGAUUCGUGCUUAGAAAUAGAUGUCGAGCCAUCUCUCAACUUCUCUUCAAGACACAAACAGGGAUGUGAACACGUGCAAAAUUAUUUGAGAAUAAAAUGAAGCAAAAUUCAUCGGGCUUAUGAUGAACCAUAAGACACAAGAGGCCGGGUGGCAGCGUUCAGCUAGG
Long non-coding RNA from Copidosoma floridanum, 367 nucleotides. The record is from RefSeq and is a predicted model, not a curated record. NCBI's taxonomy places the organism in Eukaryota, Metazoa, Arthropoda, Insecta, Hymenoptera, Encyrtidae.